CCAGUCGACCUUCAACAGCCAAACCCCGCCUCUGCCGGAAAUAGUCGCGGCGCCAGUAUCUCUAGGAUGCUCCGGAGUCACCUCUGAAAAGAGCCGGACUCUACACAAUUCGCCGUAUGUUCCGUUCCGUGGCGGUACCCUAGCAACCAAUUCCCUAGGUUUUGCGGGGGGGGGGGCAUCUUCUUUGCUGACGUCACGAAAAACUCCGCGUUCCGGACACAGGAGGAGGGAAGGAAAAGGAGAAAACGAAAAAUAAUGUCACGUGAUUCUGAUACAGGCACGAUGCGGAAAGCGGAGCUUCGCGGAUAUCACCCAAUGGUUCUCCUCCCAGGAAUGCUGCCGAGGCUGCCUGACCUCGUACUGAAUGUGCUUUCACAUUGAAUGGACAUGGAACUCUGGCUACUUUGUAUCCCAGCCUAAUUGCUGGCACCAUCCAUCUUGCUAUGGUCUGUGAUGAUGCAACCUUGCCUUUGUUUGGACCCGAAUGACAAAUAAAAAAUGUCUGACUCUGUCUGAAUGAUUUUGUCCUAUCCAUGUAAAAUAAAACAGCCCUUCUAACA
Eublepharis macularius is the source of this 560-nucleotide long non-coding RNA. RefSeq lists it as uncharacterized. The transcript has 2 exons. The record is from RefSeq and is a predicted model, not a curated record. Lineage: Eukaryota; Metazoa; Chordata; Lepidosauria; Squamata; Eublepharidae.